CAGGCCUUUCUUUGGCUGAAUAUAUUCCAUUGUUGGGUAGAUCACAUUUUGUGGAUCCAUUCAACUGUUGAUGGACACUUGGGUUGUUUGGAUUUAGGGGAGAUCAUGGUUUGUGCUGCUGUGGACACUGCUACACAAACAGUUCCAUUUUACAGAUGAAGACACCAAGGCUGAUAGCCAGUGGGCGAGAUCACUGACCUUUGAGUGGGCACUUUCUGCCUCCUCGCCUGCCAUCUGUCUCAGAGGCUCGGAUGGCAGCAUUGCUCUAGCUUCCGAGAGCACCUCCCACGCCAGAGGCCUGCCCCCAGCCCUCGACUCCUCUCCACCUUCGGAGGAAGCUCCAGCCAAGACAAACUGCUCAGCCAGCACUUCGGGACAACCCGACUGCUGUUGGGCAACAUGGCAACAUGGUCGUCCCACCGAACCCAACACGACAGCGAACGUGAAGAGCUAUGACCGCCUCAGCCAACCCGGAGAGAUGCCCCGCACCCAACGUGAACUGGAAGCAGCUACAGAAGGAUAAAUCCAGGGGGAAGCUCUUCAUUAGAUGUACGGAAGCACACAAAACGAUACGAGGUAGCCCCUGGACUCUGCCGGACACAGAGGCCGAGUGAAAGAUGCGAAGGCUCCUAGGAGACACCUGGCCAAGAGUGAAAGAAGGGGAGGAAACCGAGGGUAAGAUCUGGGGGGGAGUCCCUGCCUCAGCCCUACUCUGUGGCAGCUCUCAG
Molecule: long non-coding RNA, 728 nt
Filed under: Canis lupus familiaris (dog)
Lineage: Eukaryota; Metazoa; Chordata; Mammalia; Carnivora; Canidae
Description: lncRNA (ENSCAFG00000052303.1)
Source: RNAcentral